GACGAACGCUGGCGGCGUGCCUAAUACAUGCAAGUAGAACGCUGAAGGAGGAGCUUGCUCUUCUGGAUGAGUUGCGAACGGGUGAGUAACGCGUAGGUAACCUGCCUGGUAGCGGGGGAUAACUAUUGGAAACGAUAGCUAAUACCGCAUAACAGUAGAUGUUGCAUGACAUUUGCUUAAAAGGUGCAAUUGCAUCACUACCAGAUGGACCUGCGUUGUAUUAGCUAGUUGGUGGGGUAACGGCUCACCAAGGCGACGAUACAUAGCCGACCUGAGAGGGUGAUCGGUCACACUGGGACUGAGACACGGCCCAGACUCCUACGGGAGGCAGCAGUAGGGAAUCUUCGGCAAUGGACGGAAGUCUGACCGAGCAACGCCGCGUGAGUGAAGAAGGUUUUCGGAUCGUAAAGCUCUGUUGUAAGAGAAGAACGAGUGUGAGAGUGGAAAGUUCACACUGUGACGGUAUCUUACCAGAAAGGGACGGCUAACUACGUG
Molecule: ribosomal RNA, 495 nt
Filed under: uncultured bacterium
Lineage: Bacteria
Description: partial 16S ribosomal RNA
Rfam family: Bacterial small subunit ribosomal RNA
Source: RNAcentral